This 73-nucleotide transfer RNA is filed under the name Pteropus alecto (black flying fox). It matches the Rfam family "tRNA". From Rfam's summary of the family: Transfer RNA (tRNA) molecules are approximately 80 nucleotides in length. Their secondary structure includes four short double-helical elements and three loops (D, anti-codon, and T loops). Further hydrogen bonds mediate the characteristic L-shaped molecular structure. tRNAs have two regions of fundamental functional importance: the anti-codon, which is responsible for specific mRNA codon recognition, and the 3' end, to which the tRNAs corresponding amino acid is attached (by aminoacyl-tRNA synthetases). tRNAs cope with the degeneracy of the genetic code in two manners: having more than one tRNA (with a specific anti-codon) for a particular amino acid; and 'wobble' base-pairing, i.e. permitting non-standard base-pairing at the 3rd anti-codon position. Lineage: Eukaryota; Metazoa; Chordata; Mammalia; Chiroptera; Pteropodidae. The record is from Rfam by way of RNAcentral.
GGUUCCAUAUUGUAGUGGUUAGUACAUCUGCUUUACACACAGAAGGUUCUGGGUUCGCACCCCAGUGGAGCCA